AGUGGCGGACGGGUGAGUAACGCGUGAGAAUCUGGCUUCAGGUCUGGGACAACCACUGGAAACGGUGGCUAAUACCGGAUGUGCCGAAAGGUGAAAGAUUAAUUGCCUGAAGAUGAGCUCGCGUCUGAUUAGCUAGUUGGAAGUGUAAUGGACUCCCAAGGCGACGAUCAGUAGCUGGUCUGAGAGGACGAUCAGCCACACUGGGACUGAGACACGGCCCAGACUCCUACGGGAGGCAGCAGUGGGGAAUUUUCCGCAAUGGGCGAAAGCCUGACGGAGCAAUACCGCGUGAGGGAGGAAGGCUCUUGGGUCGUAAACCUCUUUUCUCAGGGAAGAACACAAUGACGGCACCUGAGGAAUAAGCAUCGGCUAACUCCGUGCCAGCAGCCGCGGUAAUACGGAGGAUGCAAGCGUUAUCCGGAAUGAUUGGGCGUAAAGCGUCCGCAGGUGGCUAUGUAAGUCUGCUGUUAAAGAGUCUAGCUCAACUAGAUAAGAGCAGUGGAAACUACAAGGCUAGAGUACGUUCGGGGCAGAGGGAAUUCCUGGUGUAGCGGUGAAAUGCGUAGAGAUCAGGAAGAACACCAGUGGCGAAGGCGCUCUGCUAGGCCGUAACUGACACUGAGGGACGAAAGCUAGGGGAGCGAAUGGGAUUAGAUACCCCAGUAGUCCUAGCCGUAAACGAUGGAUACUAGGCGUGGCUUGUAUCGACCCGAGCCGUGCCGUAGCUAACGCGUUAAGUAUCCCGCCUGGGGAGUACGCCGGCGACGGUGAAACUCAAAGGAAUUGACGGGGGCCCGCACAAGCGGUGGAGUAUGUGGUUUAAUUCGAUGCAACGCGAAGAACCUUACCAAGGCUUGACAUGUCGCGAAUCUUCUUGAAA
RNAcentral lists this ribosomal RNA (880 nucleotides) under uncultured Nostoc sp. Its description in RNAcentral is "bacterial SSU rRNA". It matches the Rfam family "Bacterial small subunit ribosomal RNA", at positions 94 to 1006 of the family's 1533-position model. The record is from RNAcentral. Lineage: Bacteria; Bacillati; Cyanobacteriota; Cyanophyceae; Nostocales; Nostocaceae.